Molecule: ribosomal RNA, 483 nt
Filed under: uncultured bacterium
Lineage: Bacteria
Description: partial 16S ribosomal RNA
Rfam family: Bacterial small subunit ribosomal RNA
Source: RNAcentral
GACGAACGCUGGCGGCGUGUUUUACACAUGCAAGUCGAACGGUGAAGGUGGAGCUUGCUCCGCCAGAUCAGUGGCGAACGGGUGAGUAACACGUGGGCAACCUGCCCCUAACUUUGGGAUAACUACUCGAAAGAGUAGCUAAUACCGGAUAUGAAGUCUGUAGGCAUCUAUGGAUUUGGAAAGUUUUUCGGUUAGGGAUGGGCCCGCGGCCUAUCAGCUUGUUGGUGAGGUAGUGGCUCACCAAGGCGACGACGGGUAGCCGGCCUGAGAGGGCGACCGGCCACACUGGGACUGAGACACGGCCCAGACUCCUACGGGAGGCAGCAGUGGGGAAUAUUGCGCAAUGGGCGAAAGCCUGACGCAGCAACGCCGCGUGCGGGAUGAAGGCCUUCGGGUUGUAAACCGCUUUCAGCAGGGAAGAAGCGAAAGUGACGGUACCAGCAGAAAAAGCACCGGCUAACUACGUGCCAGCCGCCGCCGUAA